AUUGAACGCUGGCGGCAGGCCUAACACAUGCAAGUCGAGCGGAUGAAGGGAGCUUGCUCCUGGAUUCAGCGGCGGACGGGUGAGUAAUGCCUAGGAAUCUGCCUGGUAGUGGGGGAUAACGUCCGGAAACGGGCGCUAAUACCGCAUACGUCCUGCGGGGGAAAGUGGGGGAUCUUCGGACCUCACGCUAUCAGAUGAGCCUAGGUCGGAUUAGCUAGUUGGUGGGGUAAAGGCCUACCAAGGCGACGAUCCGUAACUGGUCUGAGAGGAUGAUCAGUCACCCUGGAACUUAGACACGGUCCAGACUCCUACGGGAGGCAGCAGUGGGGAAUGUUGGACAAUGGGCGAAAGCCUGAUCCAGCCAUGCCGAGUGUGUGAAGAAGGUCUUCGGAUUGUAAAGCACGUUAAGUUGGGAGGAAGGGCAGUAAGUUAAUACCUUGCUGUUUUGACGUUACCAACAGAAUAAGCACCGGCUAACUUCGUG
RNAcentral lists this ribosomal RNA (484 nucleotides) under uncultured bacterium. Its description in RNAcentral is "partial 16S ribosomal RNA". It matches the Rfam family "Bacterial small subunit ribosomal RNA", at positions 30 to 507 of the family's 1533-position model. The record is from RNAcentral.